AGGAUUAUAGUUUAAAUAAAAACAUUUGAUUUGCAUUCAAAAAAUAUUAUUUUAUUAUAAUUUAUCUUA
RNAcentral lists this transfer RNA (69 nucleotides) under Agrotis exclamationis (heart and dart moth). RNAcentral's name for it is "tRNA-Ala". The record is from RNAcentral. Lineage: Eukaryota; Metazoa; Arthropoda; Insecta; Lepidoptera; Noctuidae.